Molecule: ribosomal RNA, 483 nt
Filed under: uncultured bacterium
Lineage: Bacteria
Description: partial 16S ribosomal RNA
Rfam family: Bacterial small subunit ribosomal RNA
Source: RNAcentral
GACGAACGCUGGCGGCGUGCUUAACACAUGCAAGUCGAACGCUGAAGCUCAGCUUUUGUUGGGUGGAUGAGUGGCGAACGGGUGAGUAACACGUGAGUAACCUGCCCCCUUCUUUGGGAUAACGCCCGGAAACGGGUGCUAAUACUGGAUAUUCACUGGUCUUCGCAUGGGGGUUGGUGGAAAGGGUUUUUCUGGUGGGGGAUGGGCUCGCGGCCUAUCAGCUUGUUGGUGGGGUGAUGGCCUACCAAGGCUUUGACGGGUAGCCGGCCUGAGAGGGUGACCGGUCACAUUGGGACUGAGAUACGGCCCAGACUCGUACGGGGGGCAGAAGUGGGGAAAAUUGGACAAUGGGCGAAAGACUGAUGCAGCGACGACGCGUGAGGGAUGGAGGCCUUCGGGUUGUGAACCUCUUUCGCUCAUGGUCAAGCCGCAACAAUGGUUGUGGUGAGGGUAGUGGGUAAAGAAGCGCCGGCUAACUACGUG